Zingiber officinale is the source of this 211-nucleotide long non-coding RNA. RefSeq lists it as uncharacterized. The record is from RefSeq and is a predicted model, not a curated record. The transcript is spliced from 4 exons. NCBI's taxonomy places the organism in Eukaryota, Viridiplantae, Streptophyta, Magnoliopsida, Zingiberales, Zingiberaceae.
UAUUAGGCUAGACUGCAGUAAUGCGAUUCACUGUUCAGCAAAGGAGGGUAUUGGUAUAACUGAAAUUUUAAAUGUUAUUAUAACAAGGAUUCCUCCUCCAAAGGAUACCUCAGAAAGCCCUAUGAGAGCUCUUAUAUUUGAUAGAAAUCGAGAUCAUGCUUGGCAAACUAUUGUGACCAAUGGGGUCAAGAUAUACAAUGCAUCAAGGGGU